CUCCCUGUAGUUCAACGGAUAGAACAAGGGUUUUCUAAGCCCUCGAUGGGGGUUCGAUUCCCUCCGGGGAGA
RNAcentral lists this transfer RNA (72 nucleotides) under Candidatus Wolfebacteria bacterium. RNAcentral's name for it is "tRNA-Arg". It matches the Rfam family "tRNA". From Rfam's summary of the family: Transfer RNA (tRNA) molecules are approximately 80 nucleotides in length. Their secondary structure includes four short double-helical elements and three loops (D, anti-codon, and T loops). The record is from RNAcentral. Lineage: Bacteria; Candidatus Wolfeibacteriota.